This 426-nucleotide ribosomal RNA is filed under the name uncultured prokaryote. Its description in RNAcentral is "bacterial SSU rRNA". It matches the Rfam family "Bacterial small subunit ribosomal RNA", at positions 355 to 796 of the family's 1533-position model. The record is from RNAcentral.
UGGGGAAUUUUCCGCAAUGGGCGCAAGCCUGACGGAGCAACGCCGCGUGAGGGAGGAAGGCCUGUGGGUCGUAAACCUCUUUUCUCAGGGAAGAAGGACUGACGGUACCUGAGGAAUCAGCAUCGGCUAACUCCGUGCCAGCAGCCGCGGUAAGACGGAGGAUGCAAGCGUUAUCCGGAAUUAUUGGGCGUAAAGCGUCCGUAGGUUGUUUUAGAAGUCUGUUGUUAAAGCCCACAGCUCAACUGUGGAUGGGCAAUGGAAACUGUAAGACUAGAGUGUGGUAGGGGUAGAGGGAAUUCCUAGUGUAGCGGUGAAAUGCGUAGAUAUUAGGAAGAACACCAGUGGCGAAGGCGCUCUACUGGGCCAUAACUGACACUGAUGGACGAAAGCUAGGGGAGCGAAAGGGAUUAGAUACCCCUGUAGUCC